This 497-nucleotide ribosomal RNA is filed under the name uncultured bacterium. Its description in RNAcentral is "partial 16S ribosomal RNA". It matches the Rfam family "Bacterial small subunit ribosomal RNA", at positions 28 to 507 of the family's 1533-position model. The record is from RNAcentral.
GAUGAACGCUGGCGGCGUGCCUAAUACAUGCAAGUAGAACGCUGAAGCUUGGUGCUUGCACCGAGCGGAUGAGUUGCGAACGGGUGAGUAACGCGUAGGUAACCUGCCUGGUAGCGGGGGAUAACUAUUGGAAACGAUAGCUAAUACCGCAUAACAGUAGAUAUUGCAUGAUAUCUGCUUGAAAGGUGCAAAUGCAUCACUACCAGAUGGACCUGCGUUGUAUUAGCUAGUUGGUGAGGUAACGGCUCACCAAGGCGACGAUACAUAGCCGACCUGAGAGGGUGAUCGGCCACACUGGGACUGAGACACGGCCCAGACUCCUACGGGAGGCAGCAGUAGGGAAUCUUCGGCAAUGGGGGGAACCCUGACCGAGCAACGCCGCGUGAGUGAAGAAGGUUUUCGGAUCGUAAAGCUCUGUUGUAAGAGAAGAACGAGUGUGAGAGUGGAAAGUUCACACUGUGACGGUAUCUUACCAGAAAGAGACGGCUAACUACGUG